Molecule: ribosomal RNA, 406 nt
Filed under: uncultured bacterium
Lineage: Bacteria
Description: partial 16S ribosomal RNA
Rfam family: Bacterial small subunit ribosomal RNA
Source: RNAcentral
AUUGAACGCUGGCGGCAGGCCUAACACAUGCAAGUCGAGCGAGCGGCGGACGGGUGAGUAAUGUCUGGGAAACUGCCUGAGGGAGGGGGAUAACUACUGGAAACGGUAGCUAAUACCGCAUACCAUCAGAUGUGCCCAGAUGGGAUUAGCUAGUAGGUGGGGUAAUGGCUCACCUAGGCGACGAUCCCUAGCUGGUCUGAGAGGAUGACCAGCCACACUGGAACUGAGACACGGUCCAGACUCCUACGGGAGGCAGCAGUGGGGAAUAUUGCACAAUGGGCGAAAGCCUGAUGCAGCCAUGCCGCGUGUGUGAAGAAGGCCUUCGGAUUGUAAAGCACUUUCAGUGGGGAGGCGUUACUCACAGAAGAAGCACCGGCUAACUCCGUGCCAGCAGCCGCGGUAAUUC